RNAcentral lists this ribosomal RNA (386 nucleotides) under uncultured bacterium. Its description in RNAcentral is "bacterial SSU rRNA". It matches the Rfam family "Bacterial small subunit ribosomal RNA", at positions 335 to 713 of the family's 1533-position model. The record is from RNAcentral.
ACUCCUACGGGAGGCAGCAGUGGGGAAUAUUGCACAAUGGGGGAAACCCUGAUGCAGCCAUGCCGCGUGUGUGAAGAAGGCCUUGGGUUGUAAAGCACUUUCAGUAGGGAGGAAGGUAGUGUAGUUAACACCUGCAUUAUUUGUACGUUACCUACAGAAGAAGCACCGGCUAACUCCGUGCCAGCAGCCGCGGUAAGUACGGAGGGUGCGAGCGUUAAUCGGAAUUACUGGGCGUAAAGCGCAUGCAGGCGGCCUGUUAAGUCAGAUGUGAAAGCCCGGGGCUUAACCUCGGAAUUGCAUUUGAAACUGGCAGGCUAGAGUCUUGUAGAGGGGUUAGAAUUUCAGGUGUAGCGGUGAAAUGCGUAGAGAUCUGAAGGAAUACCAGU